AACACUGUUAACCUGCGGUACCUGCGGAAGGAUCAUUACUGCUUGCUUAAGGCUUCUGCGUGGGAAACUAUGCAGUUGUCGAGCUUGCUACCCUUGUCUAUACAUAACCUCUCGUUAUUUCCCUCGGCAGGGCAACCUGCCGCUGGGCUCCAUUAAACCUCUUGUUUACAGAAUUAUCUUCUGACUACACAAAAUAAUCACAACUUUUAGCAACGGAUCU
RNAcentral lists this unclassified non-coding RNA (220 nucleotides) under soil metagenome. RNAcentral describes it as "partial contains 5.8S ribosomal RNA, internal transcribed spacer 2, and large subunit ribosomal RNA". The record is from RNAcentral.